UGAACACCUAUGAAGUAUCUGUCAAGGGCAGAACUCAAGCCUCAGACUCUGGAGACACAUCUAGAUUUCAGUCUCAAUUUCAUCCUUUACCAGCUCUACGACUGCAGACAAGUCCGCCAGGGAAUAGGAAGCUUUAGAAAGAUACUUCGCAAUCCAUACCAGCAGCUUCAAAGAAAGGCGGAAGGCACCAAGUAAAAGAGAGAAACUGAGGCUCACAGAGCUUAGAUACCAUACUUCCUGACACACAGCUACUAAAUGAUGCGGUAAGGAUUUGGACUCAGCUGUGUCCGACCAGGACACGUGAAGCCACAUCACUGGUAAAUGAAUAUGGAGGAACACUGAGAAAUCUGAUUGUAAUUGAGAAAAAGAGGGAAGGUGAAGAAAUUUGUCAUGCACAAUGAAUCUUAAAACUCAAACGUCUUCUGAGCCAGCAUGGUUAGAGCAUUUUUCUCUCUUAUAUUUCAAAUGUCUG
This is a long non-coding RNA of Homo sapiens (human), 472 nucleotides long. RefSeq lists it as uncharacterized. The record is from RefSeq and is a predicted model, not a curated record. The transcript has 3 exons. NCBI's taxonomy places the organism in Eukaryota, Metazoa, Chordata, Mammalia, Primates, Hominidae.